UACGGGGGGAGCAAGCGUUGUUCGGAUUUACUGGGCGUAAAGGGCGCGUAGGCGGUCGUGACAAGUCACUUGUGAAAUCUCCGGGCUUAACUCGGAACGGUCAAGUGAUACUGUCGGACUAGAGUGUGGUAGGGGAGACUGGAAUUCCUGGUGUAGCGGUGAAAUGCGCAGAUAUCAGGAGGAACACCGAUGGCGAAGGCAGGUCUCUGGGCCACUACUGACGCUGAGAAGCGAAAGCAUGGGGAGCGAACAGG
RNAcentral lists this ribosomal RNA (254 nucleotides) under uncultured bacterium. RNAcentral's name for it is "partial 16S ribosomal RNA". It matches the Rfam family "Bacterial small subunit ribosomal RNA", at positions 524 to 776 of the family's 1533-position model. The record is from RNAcentral.